Molecule: transfer RNA, 74 nt
Filed under: Blastopirellula sp.
Lineage: Bacteria; Pseudomonadati; Planctomycetota; Planctomycetia; Pirellulales; Pirellulaceae
Description: tRNA-Leu
Rfam family: tRNA
About the family: Transfer RNA (tRNA) molecules are approximately 80 nucleotides in length. Their secondary structure includes four short double-helical elements and three loops (D, anti-codon, and T loops).
Source: RNAcentral
GGCUCAGUAGGCAACUGGCAGACCACUUUGGCUUAGAACCAGAGAUGCUGUGAGUUCGAAUCUCACCUGAGCUA